Molecule: ribosomal RNA, 274 nt
Filed under: uncultured bacterium
Lineage: Bacteria
Description: partial 16S ribosomal RNA
Rfam family: Bacterial small subunit ribosomal RNA
Source: RNAcentral
AUACGGAGGGUGCAAGCGUUAUUCGGAAUCACUGGGCGUAAAGGACACGUAGGCGGGAAGCCAAGUCUGAUGUGAAAUCCUAUGGCUUAACCAUAGAACUGCAUUGGAAACUGGUUACCUCGAGUAUGGGAGGGGGAGAUGGAAUUAGUGGUGUAGGGGUAAAAUCCGUAGAUAUCACUAGGAAUACCGAAAGCGAAGGCGAUCUCCUGGAACAAUACUGACGCUAAGGCGUGAAAGCGUGGGGAGCAAACGGGAUUAGAUACCCCAGUAGUCC